Molecule: ribosomal RNA, 440 nt
Filed under: uncultured bacterium
Lineage: Bacteria
Description: partial 16S ribosomal RNA
Rfam family: Bacterial small subunit ribosomal RNA
Source: RNAcentral
CCUACGGGAGGCAGCAGUGGGGGAUAUUGCACAAUGGGGGAAACCCUGAUGCAGCGACGCCGCGUGUGGGAAGACGGUCCUCUGGAUUGUAAACCACUGUCCCCAGGGACGAAGAUGACGGUACCUGGGGAGGAAGCUCCGGCUAACUACGUGCCAGCAGCCGCGGUAAUACGUAGGGAGCGAGCGUUGUCCGGAAUUACUGGGUGAAAAGGGAGCGUAGGCGGGACUGCAAGUUGGGUGUCAAAUCUACCGGCUCAACCGGUAGCCGCACUCAAAACUGCAGUUCUUGAGUGAAGUAGAGGCAGGCGGAAUUCCUAGUGAAGCGGUGAAAUGCGUAGAUAUUAGGAGGAACACCAGGGGCGAAGGCGGCCUGCUGGGCUCUUACUGACGCUGAGGCUCGAAAGUGUGGGGAGCAAACAGGAUUAGAUACCCCAGUAGUC